GACGAACCGUGCAAACGUUAUUCGGAAUCACUGGGCUUAAAGGGUGCGUAGGCGGGCUCGUAAGUCAGGGGUGAAAGCCCACGGCCCAACCGUGGAAGUGCCUCUGAUACUGCGAGCCUCGAGGGGGAUAGGGGCGUGCGGAACUCAGGGUGGAGCGGUGAAAUGCGUAGAUAUCCUGAGGAACACCGGUGGCGAAAGCGGCGCGCUGGAUCCCUACUGACGCUGAGGCACGAAAGCCAGGGGAGCAAACGGG
This 253-nucleotide ribosomal RNA is filed under the name uncultured bacterium. Its description in RNAcentral is "partial 16S ribosomal RNA". It matches the Rfam family "Bacterial small subunit ribosomal RNA", at positions 524 to 776 of the family's 1533-position model. The record is from RNAcentral.